GCGGCGGACGGGUGAGUAAUGCCUAGGAAUCUGCCCGAUAGUGGGGGACAACGUUUCGAAAGGAACGCUAAUACCGCAUACGUCCUACGGGAGAAAGCAGGGGACCUUCGGGCCUUGCGCUAUCGGAUGAGCCUAGGUCGGAUUAGCUAGUUGGUGGGGUAAAGGCUCACCAAGGCGACGAUCCGUAACUGGUCUGAGAGGAUGAUCAGUCACACUGGAACUGAGACACGGUCCAGACACCUACGGGAGGCAGCAGUGGGGAAUAUUGGACAAUGGGCGAAAGCCUGAUCCAGCCAUGCCGCGUGUGUGAAGAAGGUCUUCGGAUUGUAAAGCACUUUAAGCUGGGAGGAAGGGCAGUAAGCUAAUACCUUGCUGUUUUGACGUUACCAGCAGAAUAAGCACCGGCUAACUUCGUGCCAGCAGCCGCGGUAAUACGAAGGGUGCAAGCGUUAAUCGGAAUUACUGGGCGUAAAGCGCGCGUAGGUGGUUCAGCAAGUUGGAUGUGAAAGCCCCGGGCUCAACCUGGGAACUGCAUCCAAAACUACUGGGCUAGAGUAUGGUAGAGGGUGGUGGAAUUUCCUGUGUAGCGGUGAAAUGCGUAGAUAUAGGAAGGAACACCAGUGGCGAAGGCGACCACCUGGACUAAUACUGACACUGAGGUGCGAAAGCGUGGGGAGCAAACAGGAUUAGAUACCCUGGUAGUCCACGCCGUAAACGAUGUCAACUAGUUGUUGGGUUCCUUGAGGACUUAGUAACGAAGCUAACGCGAUAAGUUGACCGCCUGGGGAGUACGGCCGCAAGGUUAAAACUCAAAUUGAAUUUGACCGGGGGCCCGCACAAG
RNAcentral lists this ribosomal RNA (841 nucleotides) under uncultured bacterium. RNAcentral's name for it is "bacterial SSU rRNA". It matches the Rfam family "Bacterial small subunit ribosomal RNA", at positions 95 to 929 of the family's 1533-position model. The record is from RNAcentral.